This 253-nucleotide ribosomal RNA is filed under the name uncultured bacterium. Its description in RNAcentral is "partial 16S ribosomal RNA". It matches the Rfam family "Bacterial small subunit ribosomal RNA", at positions 524 to 776 of the family's 1533-position model. The record is from RNAcentral.
UACGUAGGUGGCAAGCGUUGUCCGGAAUCAUUGGGCGUAAAGCGCGCGCAGGUGGUUCCUUAAGUCUGAUGUGAAAGCCCCCGGCUCAACCGGGGAGGGUCAUUGGAAACUGGGGAACUUGAGUGCAGAAGAGGAAAGUGGAAUUCCACGUGUAGCGGUGAAAUGCGUAGAGAUGUGGAGGAACACCAGUGGCGAAGGCGACUUUCUGGUCUGUAACUGACACUGAGGCGCGAAAGCGUGGGGAGCGAACAGG